This 376-nucleotide ribosomal RNA is filed under the name uncultured organism. RNAcentral describes it as "partial 16S ribosomal RNA". It matches the Rfam family "Bacterial small subunit ribosomal RNA", at positions 527 to 896 of the family's 1533-position model. The record is from RNAcentral.
GUAGGGUGCAAGCGUUAUCCGGAAUCAUUGGGCGUAAAGAGCUCGUAGGCGGUUCAGCAAGUCGGCUGUGAAAUUCCGAGGGCUCAACCUCGGAACUGCAGUCGAUACUGCUGUGACUCGAGUCCGGUAGAGGAGAAUGGAAUUCCCGGUGUAGCGGUGAAAUGCGCAGAUAUCGGGAGGAACACCAGUAGCGAAGGCGGUUCUCUGGGCCGGCACUGACGCUGAGGAGCGAAAGCGUGGGUAGCAAACAGGAUUAGAUACCCUGGUAGUCCACGCCGUAAACGUUGGAUACUAGGUGUGGGGUUCCGAUCAACGGUCCCCGUGCCGAAGCUAACGCAUUAAGUAUCCCGCCUGGGGAGUACGGCCGCAAAGGCUA